AUUUUAGUAGCUUAUAAGAGAGCGCAGAAUUGAAGAUUCUGAGGAGGUAAGAAAUUUUGCUUUAAAAUA
This 69-nucleotide transfer RNA is filed under the name Trigonopterus puspoi. RNAcentral describes it as "tRNA-Phe". Lineage: Eukaryota; Metazoa; Arthropoda; Insecta; Coleoptera; Curculionidae. The record is from RNAcentral.